RNAcentral lists this ribosomal RNA (425 nucleotides) under uncultured bacterium. Its description in RNAcentral is "partial 16S ribosomal RNA". It matches the Rfam family "Bacterial small subunit ribosomal RNA", at positions 354 to 796 of the family's 1533-position model. The record is from RNAcentral.
GUGGGGAAUAUUGGGCAAUGGGCGAAAGCCUGACCCAGCAACGCCGCGUGAAGGAAGAAGGUCUUCGGAUCGUAAACUUCUAUCCUUGGUGAAGAUAAUGACGGUAGCCAAGAAGGAAGCCCCGGCUAACUACGUGCCAGCAGCCGCGGUAAUACGUAGGGGGCAAGCGUUGUCCGGAAUGAUUGGGCGUAAAGGGCGCGUAGGCGGCCUGGUAAGUCUGGAGUGAAAGUCCUGCUUUUAAGGUGGGAAUUGCUUUGGAUACUGUCGGGCUUGAGUGCAGGAGAGGUAAGCGGAAUUCCCGGUGUAGCGGUGAAAUGCGUAGAGAUCGGGAGGAACACCAGUGGCGAAGGCGGCUUACUGGACUGUAACUGACGCUGAGGCGCGAAAGUGUGGGGAGCAAACAGGAUUAGAAACCCCUGUAGUCC